Juglans microcarpa x Juglans regia is the source of this 489-nucleotide long non-coding RNA. RefSeq lists it as uncharacterized. The record is from RefSeq and is a predicted model, not a curated record. Lineage: Eukaryota; Viridiplantae; Streptophyta; Magnoliopsida; Fagales; Juglandaceae. The transcript is spliced from 2 exons.
UACAGGCUAGAGAACACAUUGAACUAUGAUCUCGGAAGAGUUUGGGUGGUUGGAUACAAAAAAGGAUCAGAUCGGGUUGUAUUUGGUUGUGACAAAGGAACAAUUAUGGUCAGUCUGAAGAGUACUUAGAAGCUGAGAUACGGUGAAACAACUAUAUAUCUGGGGAUGAGAAGUACGUACUUGGAGGAAUGAAGUACUGAUCAUCCGCUGCUGCUUACUGCUCUACUCCUGGUCCCUGUACUACUGUUUUCUUAUGAAUAAAUUUGUCUAUCUUCGAGUUGAAGAGCAACACUAGCUAGCUAGAUCAAUGAAUGAAGUGUUUGAUCACCCUACCCCUGCUGCUGCUGCUGUUUUGAUUGUGUGAUCUGAAAUAACUGCCACAAGGAAUUACUUCUUGUCGUGUCCAUAGAUAUUAUGUUAUAGCUACCUCCAAGGAUAUUAAUGUACUCUUUCUACUGUUUAUAUAUGCAUGUGGUGUGUUUCUUUGAA